RNAcentral lists this ribosomal RNA (447 nucleotides) under uncultured bacterium. RNAcentral describes it as "SSU rRNA". It matches the Rfam family "Bacterial small subunit ribosomal RNA", at positions 26 to 518 of the family's 1533-position model. The record is from RNAcentral.
AGAACGAACGCUGGCGGCAGGCUUAACACAUGCAAGUCGAACGCGUGUAGCAAUACACGAGUGGCGCACGGGUGAGUAACGCGUGGAUAUCUGCCUUUUGGUUCGGAAUAACCCCGGGAAACUGGGGCUAAUACCGGAUGGUUCCUACGGGAUAAAGAUUUAUCGCCAAAAGAUGAGUCCGCGUACGAUUAGCUAGUUGGUGAGGUAAUGGCUCACCAAGGCGACGAUCGUUAGCUGGUCUGAGAGGACGAUCAGCCACACUGGGACUGAGACACGGCCCAGACUCCUACGGGAGGCAGCAGUGGGGAAUUUGCGCAAUGGGGGAAACCCUGACGCAGCAACGCCGCGUGGAGGAUGAAAUAUCUUGGUAUGUAAACUCCUUUCGAUGGGGAAGAUUAUGACGGUACCCAUAGAAGAAGCCCCGGCUAACUUCGCGCCAGCAGCCGC